CGGGGCGCAGCAGGCGCGAAAACUGCACAAUGUGGGAAACCACGAUGCGGGAAUUCCAAGUGCUGGCCUUUGCCAGCUGUUUUCCUGUCUAAAAACAGGGAGAGUAAGGGCUGGGUAAGACGGGUGCCAGCCGCCGCGGUAAUACCCGCAGCCCGAGUGGUCGUCGUUAUUAUUGGGCCUAAAACGUCCGUAGCCGGUUGCGUAAAUGCCCGGGUAAAUCGCCGCGCUUAACGUGGGAAUUCCAGGUAGACUGCGCAGCUCGGGACCGGGAGAGGCUCGAGGUACUCUUGGGGUAGAGGUGAAAUUCUGUAAUCCUAGGGGGACCACCGGUGGCGAAGGCGUCGAGCUAGAACGGGUCCGACGGUGAGGGACGAAGGCUAGGGGCGCAAACGGGAUUAGAUACCCCGGUAGUCCUAGCUGUAAACGCUGUGGUUUUGGUGUCGGGGAUCCUACGCGGGUACCCGGUGCCGGAGUGAAGAUGUUAAAACCACUGCCUGGGGAGUACGGCCGCAAGGUUGAAACUUAAAGGAAUUGGCGGGGGAGCAC
RNAcentral lists this ribosomal RNA (546 nucleotides) under uncultured archaeon. RNAcentral describes it as "bacterial SSU rRNA". It matches the Rfam family "Archaeal small subunit ribosomal RNA", at positions 326 to 879 of the family's 1478-position model. The record is from RNAcentral.